AUACGUAGGGAGCGAGCGUUGUCCGGAAUUACUGGGUGUAAAGGGAGCGUAGGCGGGACUGCAAGUCAGAUGUGAAAUACCGGGGCUUAACCCCGGAGCUGCAUUUGAAACUGUGGUUCUUGAGUGAGGUAGAGGUAAGCGGAAUUCCUAGUGUAGCGGUGAAAUGCGUAGAUAUUAGGAGGAACAUCGGUGGCGAAGGCGAGUUACUGGGCAUGUACUGACGCUGAGGCACGAAAGCGUGGGGAGCAAACAGGAUUAGAUACCCUGGUAGUCCACGCUGUAAACGAUGAUGACUAUGUGUGGGGGGACUGAACCCUUCCGUGCCGCAGGUAACACAAUAAGUAAUCCACCUGGGGAGUACGGCCUCAAGGUUGAAACUCAAAGGAAUUGACGGGG
Molecule: ribosomal RNA, 396 nt
Filed under: uncultured bacterium
Lineage: Bacteria
Description: partial 16S ribosomal RNA
Rfam family: Bacterial small subunit ribosomal RNA
Source: RNAcentral